UACGAAGGGGGCUAGCGUUGUUCGGAAUUACUGGGCGUAAAGCGCGUGUAGGCGGUUGUUCAAGUCAGGUGUGAAAGCCUUGAGCUCAACUCAAGAAAUGCACUUGAUACUGGAUGACUAGAGGACCGGAGAGGAUAGUGGAAUUCCCAGUGUAAUGGUGAAAUACGUAGAGAUUGGGAAGAACACCAGUGGCGAAGGCGGCUAUCUGGACGGUUUCUGACGCUAAGACGCGAAAGCGUGGGGAGCAAACAGG
RNAcentral lists this ribosomal RNA (253 nucleotides) under uncultured bacterium. RNAcentral describes it as "partial 16S ribosomal RNA". It matches the Rfam family "Bacterial small subunit ribosomal RNA", at positions 524 to 776 of the family's 1533-position model. The record is from RNAcentral.